GACGAACGCUGGCGGCGUGCUUAACACAUGCAAGUCGAACGGAAAGGCCCUGCUCUUGUGGGGUGCUCGAGUGGCGAACGGGUGAGUAACACGUGAGUAAACUGCCCUUGACUUUGGGAUAACUUCAGGAAACUGGGGCUAAUACCGGAUAGGAGCUCCUGCACCAUGGUGGGGGUUGGAAAGUUUCGGCGGUUGGGGAUGGACUCGCGGCUUAUCAGCUUGUUGGUGGGGUAGUGGAUUACCAAGGGUUUGACGGGUAGCCGGCCUGAGAGGGUGACCGGCGACCUUGGGUCUGAGGUACGGCACAGACUCGUACGGGAGGGAGCAGUGGGGAAUAUUGCACAAUGGGCGGAAGCCUGAUGCAGCAACGCCGCGUGCGGGAUGACGGCCUUCGGGUUGUAAAACGCUUUCGCCUGUGACGAAGCGUGAGUGACGGUAAUGGGUAAAGAAGCACCGGCUAACUACGUG
Molecule: ribosomal RNA, 468 nt
Filed under: uncultured bacterium
Lineage: Bacteria
Description: partial 16S ribosomal RNA
Rfam family: Bacterial small subunit ribosomal RNA
Source: RNAcentral